AACCCGUAGAUCCGAACUUGCGGUACAACUGAUUCACACAAGCUCGAGUCUGUGGGUAUG
This 60-nucleotide microRNA precursor is filed under the name Anolis carolinensis (green anole). RNAcentral describes it as "Aca-Mir-10-P2b_pre stem-loop". Lineage: Eukaryota; Metazoa; Chordata; Lepidosauria; Squamata; Anolidae. The record is from RNAcentral.